UCCCCGGCAGCGACCUACUCUCCCGCUUAUGCAGUACCAUCGGCGCUGGAGGGCUUAACUUCCGUGUUCGGAAUGGGAACGGGUGUUUCCCCUCCGCUAUCGCCACCG
This 108-nucleotide ribosomal RNA is filed under the name Caldanaerobacter subterraneus subsp. pacificus DSM 12653. Lineage: Bacteria; Bacillati; Bacillota; Clostridia; Thermoanaerobacterales; Thermoanaerobacteraceae. The record is from RNAcentral.